AGACUCAGUGAAAUUGAACUCGCUGUGAAGAUGCAGUGUACCCGCGGCAAGACGGAAAGACCCCGUGAACCUUUACUAUAGCUUGACACUGAACAUUGAGCCUUGAUGUGUAGGAUAGGUGGGAGGCUUUGAAGCGUGGACGCCAGUCUGCGUGGAGCCGACCUUGAAAUACCACCCUUUAAUGUUUGAUGUUCUAACGUGGACCCGUAAUCCGGGUUGCGGACAGUGUCUGGUGGGUAGUUUGACUGGGGCGGUCUCCUCCUAAAGAGUAACGGAGGAGCACGAAGGUUGGCUAAUCCUGGUCGGACAUCAGGAGGUUAGUGCAAUGGCAUAAGCCAGCUUGACUGCGAGCGUGACGGCGCGAGCAGGUGCGAAAGCAGGUCAUAGUGAUCCGGUGGUUCUGAAUGGAAGGGCCAUCGCUCAACGGAUAAAAGGUACUCCGGGGAUAACAGGCUGAUACCGCCCAAGAGUUCAUAUCGACGGCGGUGUUUGGCACCUCGAUGUCGGCUCAUCACAUCCUGGGGCUGAAGUAGGUCCCAAGGGUAUGGCUGUUCGCCAUUUAAAGUGGUACGCGAGCUGGGUUUAGAACGUCGUGAGACAGUUCGGUCCCUAUCUGCCGUGGGCGCUGGAGAACUGAGGGGGGCUGCUCCUAGUACGAGAGGACCGGAGUGGACGCAUCACUGGUGUUCGGGUUGUCAUGCCAAUGGCACUGCCCGGUAGCUAAAUGCGGAAGAGAUAAGUGCUGAAAGCAUCUAAGCACGAAACUUGCCCCGA
This 774-nucleotide ribosomal RNA is filed under the name Salmonella enterica subsp. enterica serovar Infantis. Its description in RNAcentral is "partial 23S ribosomal RNA". It matches the Rfam family "Bacterial large subunit ribosomal RNA", at positions 2029 to 2802 of the family's 2925-position model. The record is from RNAcentral. RNAcentral also lists the same sequence under 2 other names. Lineage: Bacteria; Pseudomonadati; Pseudomonadota; Gammaproteobacteria; Enterobacterales; Enterobacteriaceae.